Nelumbo nucifera (sacred lotus) is the source of this 1114-nucleotide long non-coding RNA. RefSeq lists it as uncharacterized. The record is from RefSeq and is a predicted model, not a curated record. NCBI's taxonomy places the organism in Eukaryota, Viridiplantae, Streptophyta, Magnoliopsida, Proteales, Nelumbonaceae.
CAAUGUGAGAAAAGGUAUGGAUAAAGGAGUUGGCAUUUAUGUCAUGGAGGAGUUGGGAUCUACCCUCCAAAAUAGGGUUCGCAUCUACCCCCCACAGGGUGCGCCGUGUGUCCUCCUCCCACACACGCACUAAAGAGAUUCGUGCAGAUGAAACUUCACGCCAUUUGCUCCCAUACGUUAGUUCCUCUUGCCCAAAAAGGACAUCAUCCCUUAUUUUGGGUUAUUCUUCAUCUCCCAUUCUGUCGAACUGAAACCCUUAACCUUCUGUAACCCAUCGGAGAUUACCUCCUUUGAGUUCUGCUGAUCGACGCCGACAACCGUUCCAGCAAGAGAUCUAAAACCCGUCGAGGUGGGAGCCCCCUUUGAGUUCCACCGGUCGACGCCGACGACCGUUCCGGAAUAUUCAUUUACUGGAGAUAUGUAUAGUUGAGGGCAGUGCAAAUCCUAUAACCAAUUCUGGCCACUCUGUCAUGUACACACAGGAUCAAGGUUUUGGAGAAAAUAUUCAAUCUAUUACAGAUGGAAGUGGUCCACCAAGCACCAUUCCUUGUCUUUGGAAUUGGCAACAUGUUCACACAAUGCCAUCACCUAUGCAAGCACCACAUUGGCUCAUGUAUAACCAUUCAAGCUCUUUUGUAAACAAUCUUCCCAUAUAAGUACGUAGAGGUACUCAGAAAUGUGUCUAGCCAAACCAUCUCUAGUGGAUCUCAUAUGAGCCAGGAAUCAUCAUGGAUCGGACCAUGUCAAGACCAACAACCAGAAAAGUGGAGUUAUCAUGGAUGAAAGAUGUUCACGUGUAUUUGUUGUUUUUUCCCCAACAACUUUUUUUUCACAAAGUACAUUUUCUCUUUUGAUGUUCUACCAAUCUCUUUGUUUGUGAAGUCUCUCUAGUUUUCUAUUAAGAGCUCUUGUAGCAGUUUGGUUGAAGCACUCUAAUGAGAAAUGUUUGAUGAACAUAGAUAAGAAUGUUCUCAUAAAAAACCUCAAUGAGUCAAUGACCCCAUCUGUGUUCUGAAGAUAAAGAGAAGAAACUUCUUUUGCAGUAUUUCAAUUACAUGGGGAUUCUUGUAGUAGAAGGUUCUUAUGAUAAGAUGUAUGCACUUUGAUCGAGCAA